GUGGGGAAUAUUGGACAAUGGGCGAAAGCCUGAUCCAGCCAUGCCGCGUGUGUGAAGAAGGUCUUCGGAUUGUAAAGCACUUUAAGUUGGGAGGAAGGGCAGUAAGUUAAUACCUUGCUGUUUUGACGUUACCGACAGAAUAAGCACCGGCUAACUUCGUGCCAGCAGCCGCGGUAAUACGAAGGGUGCAAGCGUUAAUCGGAAUUACUGGGCGUAAAGCGCGCGUAGGUGGUUUUGUAAGUUGGAGGUGAAAUCCCCGGGCUCAACCUGGGAACUGCCUCCAAAACUGCAUGACUAGAGUACGGUAGAGGGUAGUGGAAUUUCCUGUGUAGCGGUGAAAUGCGUGGAUAUAGGAAGGAACACCAGUGGCGAAGGCGACUACCUGGACUGAUACUGACACUGAGGUGCGAAAGCGUGGGGAGCAAACAGGAUUAGAAACCCUAGUAGUCC
RNAcentral lists this ribosomal RNA (450 nucleotides) under uncultured bacterium. RNAcentral describes it as "bacterial SSU rRNA". It matches the Rfam family "Bacterial small subunit ribosomal RNA", at positions 354 to 796 of the family's 1533-position model. The record is from RNAcentral.